GAUGAACGCUGGCGGCGUGCCUAAUACAUGCAAGUCGAGCGAACAGACGAGGAGCUUGCUCCUCUGACGUUAGCGGCGGACGGGUGAGUAACACGUGGAUAACCUACCUAUAAGACUGGGAUAACUUCGGGAAACCGGAGCUAAUACCGGAUAAUAUAUUGAACCGCAUGGUUCAAUAGUGAAAGACGGUUUUGCUGUCACUUAUAGAUGGAUCCGCGCCGCAUUAGCUAGUUGGUAAGGUAACGGCUUACCAAGGCAACGAUGCGUAGCCGACCUGAGAGGGUGAUCGGCCACCCUGGAACUGAGACACGGUCCAGACUCCUACGGGAGGCAGCAGUAGGGAAUCUUCCGCAAUGGGCGAAAGCUUGACGGAGCAACGCCGCGUGAGUGAUGAAGGUCUUCGGAUCGUAAAACUCUGUUAUUAGGGAAGAACAAAUGUGUAAGUAACUAUGCACGUCUUGACGGUACCUAAUCAGAAAGCCACGGCUAACUACGUG
RNAcentral lists this ribosomal RNA (497 nucleotides) under uncultured bacterium. RNAcentral's name for it is "partial 16S ribosomal RNA". It matches the Rfam family "Bacterial small subunit ribosomal RNA", at positions 28 to 507 of the family's 1533-position model. The record is from RNAcentral.